GGUAGGGCCUGGGGGCCUGCGGGAGGGAGGAGCUAGGGUCGGAAGCUACAGGGAGAUCCCCGCACACUCGACAGAAGUCCUCCUGGCAGGUGAAGAGGUCCCAGUGUGAAAGGGGUAGCGGAAGGCCUCGGGCUCUGCGCUCACCCUCGUGUGUCCAGUGCUGACCUGCAAGGCGGAGAGAGCGCAGCUGCAGCCGGCGCAGCGGGCGGCGUCCGCGGCCCUCGGCCUCCCGCCGACACUCCUCCUGCCCCACCUCCCGCCGUUCUUUCUCCACCCUCCUCCCCAAGCCCUUCGCGAAGGAAGCCUUGAAAUCCUACACCUCGGCGGAAAGGUCGGGGGGCCGAUGUCAAAUCGCCAGCGGGGCGGCGCGGCAAACCUGGCAGCAUGUGGACAUCAGCACAGACAGACACACAGGCAUCCAAAUGUACCUACCCGCUUCUGCAGCCAGGAUCCAAAUCACCUCCAGCAGCAGAGUGAAGACCAACAUGGUAUCCCUGGAAGAUGCAGGUCCUGGGACUUUGGGGACUUGAGGACUAGGGUUGGCGGAGAAAGAGUGGGGUGGGGGGGAAGAGGGAAGGAGAGGGAGGAAGGAGGGGGGAGGGACAGAGAGAGAGAGAGAGAGAGAGAGAGAGAGAGGAGUUUCUUGGAGCUGAGCUGAUUGUAUUUCUCUCUUUUUCUCUUGCGGUCUCUGUGUCUCUUCAGGCUUCCAGGGGAUUUGGUUUUCAGUAGGGUACCGUAAUGUUUUGGGUCCCUGGGACAAAUCUCUCGCUGCCUCGCUCUUUUUUAAUCUACCUCUACGGUCUUCACUCCACUUGCUGGCCAGCAACCUCACAAUUGCCUCCUGCUUUUAAGGUGGCUCUGGAUGAGUGUACGUGCUGGGGGGGGGGGCUGCCUGGGUUGCUGGUGAACAGCUCCUUAAAUAGCCUAUUAGGCAUGCAGAGCUGGAGCGUGCUGCGGGUUCGCGGGAGCCCUGGCCUUGGCUCAGGAGCCCAGCUGGGGUGAGCUCUUCCUUCCUCUGCUCUUUGCAAGGGCACUGUCCAGGUGGGUGUCCCCUGGAGUGGGCCGGGGGCACGGAAGGAAGGCUUGGGGGUCCAAUCCAGCCCCCUCAGGGGGACACUGUGUUCUCAUUCCCCGUCUGGCUUCUCCGAGGAGCAACUCCCCUGGGUGGCAUGGGGCAGUGGGUGGGAGGACCUUUUCCCUGUCCCCUGCAGGAUUUGAGCUGCCCCGGAACAGGAAGAGUCCAGAGUUCGGAGACAGCAGUUGGGGACUCAGGGUGCAGGUGGAGGGUAGAAAGUCAAGCGCUAAAACCUAGCUUGUGGAAAAUAAAGAAGAGAAGUGAGUCAAGAGAACUUGCUUGGAGCCAUCUCUUCCUGCGCCUGUCACCAGCCCUUCCCAUGGGUCACCGGCCCUGAGGAUGCACCCAUCUGAGCUCCCUCUGCGCUCAUCCCUCCUGCCAAGGAGCAAGAAAUAGCCAAAACAAAGGGAGCAGAAGCUAAAUAAGGAGCAGGAGAAAAGCCGAAUGAACAGAGUAAUGCAUGAGCUCCAUCCUCAGGGCCUGCGGAGGCAGGAGCGGCCCUGCCUUUCUGGCCCCUGUGACUGAUCUGCGAAGCAAAACCGUUUGGCAGAUGUCAUUUCCUUUUCCAUUUUCUCAUCACCCUCAGAAUUAUUUUUCCCUUACAGGCGCAUUUUAUGUUUUGAGAUUCCCCCAGAGCCCCACCCCUCUCAUCUAAGAGGAAAAAAAGGCAUGAAGUGUAAACUAGACAUCCUGGGAAUGAGGAGAGUUAACCCAGAAAAACAGAGAAAAGAAGAAAAGCAGAGACAUCUAUUGCAUGGGAGGAAAGAACGGGCCUGGACAGAAUGACCUCUGCUAGGUCAGAGUUCCCUUCCGGCAGCCCGGGCUGUAAUUCACCUUCCCCGUGCAGGGAACAUGUCUUGCCAGGCGCCACCUCCUGGUUGUCUCAUGAAUUUUUUUUUUUUUUUUUUACAUUUUAAAAAUUUUCAUUUAAAAUGUGUGUGUGAUUGCUGCAGGGAAGUGUUUCGCCGCUGGUGGGAUUUGGGAUUUUGCCUACAGAAAUAAACAUUGUUUCACAAAAAUGUCUUAGCCCCAUAUCAGCACUUUACCACUUCUGAAUGAGCAGCCUCUCCAGGCCCUCGUGCUUCCCAAGCGGACAAAGGCCUUAGUUUCUGGGAGGGAGGGAAAAAGGAGGCAAGCACCCUCCUCCAGGCCCUUGCCUUUAUUUUGAUCUUUGGCUCUACUAUGGAUAUAUCUAUUGUCACCAAGCUAAUUUGGAGUAGGUGUCAGGAGGACCCUUACAUGUUAAAACAAAACAAAAUAGCAUCCCACCCCCCAAUCCCUUCACCUUAGUAGCUACUCAAACUCUGGCACCUUUGUUUUAAUUCCUACUUCUCUCUCCAGCACAAUCCUUACCCCAUAGUUGGCCAAACCCAAGGCAUUCCACUGCCUUCUGGCGCCAUCUCCUGUCCUUUCAAAUGCAGUGAAAUGUGCACAGGCCAGAGAAUCAAGUGUCCAAGUGUGGUGGCUUUUGGUUUGCUUUUUCUUAAAAGGUCCUUUUUAUUUUAUUAUUGUAUUUUUUUUACAUGAGUA
Molecule: long non-coding RNA, 2605 nt
Organism: Ailuropoda melanoleuca (giant panda)
Lineage: Eukaryota; Metazoa; Chordata; Mammalia; Carnivora; Ursidae
Exons: 3
Source: RefSeq, a predicted model, not a curated record